RNAcentral lists this long non-coding RNA (1375 nucleotides) under Physcomitrium patens. RNAcentral's name for it is "long non-coding RNA (PPAT_LNC010345)". The record is from RNAcentral. Lineage: Eukaryota; Viridiplantae; Streptophyta; Bryopsida; Funariales; Funariaceae.
GAGAUGGCAUCGGAAUUCGGACCCGAUUUGUGCUUCUUCGAACACAAUCAGCCGAACCCAUUGGCUAUUUUCGUCCCUCGACCAAACCCAUCUCAUUUUUUCACCACCUGAGCAAUAUCACAUUGUUGGGUACUUCACUUACAUCACGUUUUUUUCCUUUCCCAUUUCUCACAGGGAAGGCUUGAAUUGGGCUUGUUGAAGCGUGGGAUGUGUUACGAACAUACAGCGUUCAUGUUGUUGGUAUGUGGGUAGUAACCCGAUUGUUGUCGUUCUUUCUGUUGUUGUGUCGUUGAAUGGAGUCACAACCCAGCCUGCUCGCUUUUGUAGCUCUUUUUGUGAUAAAUGGGUUGAGUUUGAUUUGAAGGGUUCGUAAGAGGGAGUUGAUCAUGUCUCUUGGAUUUUGGUAUUGUCAUCUUCAACAGGGUUUCUCAGUGUCGCAAUGUGUAAGAAGAGCUACUGGGAAUCGUGAUUGUGAUUGUUUCCUUUUGCAUUCCAUGCAGGGGAAUGCGUAUUGUCUUGUGCAGUGGGUCUUGUGCGGUUUGAAUUUUUGCUCUGGGCUUUGGAGACGCUGUGUACGUGCACAUUCUCUUGCGCCUAACCCCAAUUUUAACUUCCUUCUGAAGUGAUAUCAGUUCCAAAUAAGCUUGACUGCACUUAUUGGAUACUUAUAUUUGUUUUUGUUUUUGUUUUGUCAUGGCCCACUCGGAUUAAUCAGACAGACCAAACCUCCAUAUGAAUCACAAUGGCCAGGAUCAUUUUACCUUCAGAGUCUAAAGUAGAUCUGUUAUUUCCUCGACACAUUCAAGUUCAGUUGAUAGCUUCAUGAAGUUCAACACGAUGAGGAGGUUGCUUGUCCCAGCUUUCUCCCUCUGGUACUGGAAUUUGCUGCAUGAUUUGCAAAUUUUUACAACGUGCGUGGUAAUAUGUCGCUGCUCAAACUUUUGAGCGACCAUUCAAAACCCUGACUGUUUGAUUCUUUACAUUUGUGGAGAAAUACAAUUUUCAUUCUCUGAAAAUUUUCACAUCCGUGUUGUAUACCUUGUAAGACUGCCAUCGGAGCACAGCGCAGCCUCCCUCUUGAUGCUGCGACAAGAUUACGGGUUUUGUUACAUAAUUUCUUCAACACAUGCGGCUAUGUUUGUGAAAUAUCUACCAUGGACGUAGCAGGCAUCUCGGUUGGUUUAACUUCGAGACUGACCACAACGUGUUUCUCUUCGUAAAUGUCACAAUGUCGUUAAAAUCCUGCAACAGCGUUAGUACUGAAAUUAAGAAAUUGAUUUGAGUGAUGGUCCUUUUUUCUCUGUCCGUUUUUUAUUUUUAUUUUGCCUUCAAAACUUUGAUCUCCUCAUUCUCCUCCUCAGUUCCUUCCUCUUUC